RNAcentral lists this transfer RNA (74 nucleotides) under Gemmata sp. SH-PL17. RNAcentral's name for it is "tRNA-Val". It matches the Rfam family "tRNA". From Rfam's summary of the family: Transfer RNA (tRNA) molecules are approximately 80 nucleotides in length. Their secondary structure includes four short double-helical elements and three loops (D, anti-codon, and T loops). Further hydrogen bonds mediate the characteristic L-shaped molecular structure. tRNAs have two regions of fundamental functional importance: the anti-codon, which is responsible for specific mRNA codon recognition, and the 3' end, to which the tRNAs corresponding amino acid is attached (by aminoacyl-tRNA synthetases). tRNAs cope with the degeneracy of the genetic code in two manners: having more than one tRNA (with a specific anti-codon) for a particular amino acid; and 'wobble' base-pairing, i.e. permitting non-standard base-pairing at the 3rd anti-codon position. Lineage: Bacteria; Pseudomonadati; Planctomycetota; Planctomycetia; Gemmatales; Gemmataceae. The record is from RNAcentral.
GGCCCCGUGGUCCAACGGCUUACGACACCCGGAUCACAACCAGGAAAUGGGGGUUCGAUUCCCUCCGGGGCCAC